RNAcentral lists this transfer RNA (66 nucleotides) under Bithynia leachii. Its description in RNAcentral is "tRNA-Tyr". It matches the Rfam family "tRNA". Rfam says of the family: Transfer RNA (tRNA) molecules are approximately 80 nucleotides in length. Lineage: Eukaryota; Metazoa; Mollusca; Gastropoda; Littorinimorpha; Bithyniidae. The record is from RNAcentral.
UGUCAGGUGGCUGAGUAACAAGCGAUAGAUUGUAAAUCUAUUUAUGGAGUUGAUUCUCCCCGACAA